Helianthus annuus (common sunflower) is the source of this 1969-nucleotide long non-coding RNA. RefSeq lists it as uncharacterized. NCBI's taxonomy places the organism in Eukaryota, Viridiplantae, Streptophyta, Magnoliopsida, Asterales, Asteraceae. The record is from RefSeq and is a predicted model, not a curated record. The transcript is spliced from 7 exons.
UCCCACGUCCAUCCACAAAACUAGGGCAGAUGAUUUAUCAAGUGAACAAUUUUCUCUUCCAAAAAUAACUGUAAAUUGGGUAGUUUACGGCAGUUGCUAAAAUUGUUCCUAAUUUCCAGGCUUUUAGCUAAAAAAUAGCAUCCACUCUCUCCUAAUUUGCGGUGGUUUACGGUGGUUUCCUGAUCGUGGAGACUUUCUCCGUCUUUCUCUGCUACUGCAAUCGUAUACUAUCUCCUUUAUAUUCCACAAAAAUUUCAGUAUUUCUAUGACACAGACAUUGAUCGUCCAACUAAUAGUCGUUCUGAAUAGUACGAACGACCUAAUCCUUCUUCUUCGGGGCCACCUUCAGAGUGAUAACAAGCGUCGUGGUACAAGCCCUAGCCCUCCUCUACCUCCGUAUCUUGACCGUCAUGGUGGACACUCUUCAUCUCCUCAAAAAUCAUCUCCAUUUACUCCGUUUAAGCGGUUCUGCACAGACAAUCGCGGCUACGAUGGUCGUGGCAGGCCUUGCUAAGGUUUCGGAUCUGGUGAUAAAAGAAACAUUGAUGUAUUUAUAAUGGAAAGAAUUGAUGGAGAACAAAGAUUAUAGAAGAACUGAAAUGAAGAUGACGAUUUUGAAUUCAAAGCUUGAAGCAUGUCUUUUGCUCAGUUUCUGUAUCUUUAUCAAUCCUCGACCGUCCAUUUCAAUUUGAUUGUAUAUCAAGAUAAUAAAUGACUUUUGAAUUUUAUGUGUACCAAAUGUGUUUGAUGAAAUGCCGUGAGAUUUAUUAUGACCAAUAGUUUUAAGUUACAUUAGUGGCUCAUUUUUUUUUCUGUUUUGUCUUAAAAGCUCCUGACCAGCAAUUUUUAAAUUUCAGUUGGAGAAAAGUGUCACCUUCCAAACGUCUCAGUCAGGGGCGGUUUAGCAUGGGAGUCAUUCAGGUGCACUGUAUCUUUCCUAUUUGCCUUUGAUGCAAGUUUUAGGCUGUGAGUUGUUUAAUUUUAAUGAUACGUUCUCUUAUGACAUGAAUUUGGGUUGUUUUAGUAUCUAUUGUUGAGAAAUGUGAAUUUUAGUUUAAUCUCUGGUGAGUGAAGAGAAAGUAUCAUGUAUGUGAGAUGAGUUUGAUUAUUUGAAUGAUGAUCUGGCGUAUUGCUUUAUAUUGUUUUUGAGUUAAUGUGGUGUCUUUAUUAUUACAGAUUCAUAAGAGUAAAAAGGAAAAGGAGGUCUAUGAUGAAAUGAUAUACAAGAGUAGAUAUUUCAAGGUUCUUAUCAGUGAUCAUUGUUGAUAUAUUAGUAGGCAUGGAAGCUAGGCACAAGGAAGAAAAUGAUCACUAACUGAUCAAAAAAUUGGAUGAACAGUUCAUAGAAAAGAAGUAGAACCUGAUCAGGAAAAAGGUGAUGCUUGUGACAUGUGUGCUCGCCCAUCAAAUAGACCAGAAACACAUGAAGAACUUGCAUAAGACGACAAAGAGCGAUUAGAACAUUUGGAGGCAAAGACGUUAAUGGCAUUUCUACAACUAACUUGGGUAGAUUCAUCUUGGUUAGAAAGAAUGGUAUGUGAUAUCAUCCACUGGUCAGCCAUGGGAACUAUCUUCAUUAGUUUCUCUUGACACAACUGAAAGAAUGUCACCAUCUUAUAGGACAUAUGAAAGAGAAACUCAUUGAUGCGGUUCAUAUUGGUGACAUGAAAAUCCAGACAAGAGACGGGUCAAAUGGUUGGUAAUUGCAAAAGUUAUCAAAACUCUUUGUUGGGUUAAUCGGUUUGUUCGCGGGUCACAGGUUAGCAGGUUAGCAGUGAGCUUUAACAGGUCAGUAGACCUAGUCUUGGUCUCGGUUUGACCUGGUUCUGGGGGGAUAUGGACCAAGUUUUUACAUUUGAUGUUUAUGUGUUUAUUACAAAUAGGAUAGCAGUGGUUUUUCUAUGGUACACUUUAACUCUGGCUGUAUUUGUUUCAAGCAAUAAAGGAGUAAUAAAUUCAUUUUCAUUCU